Molecule: ribosomal RNA, 301 nt
Filed under: uncultured bacterium
Lineage: Bacteria
Description: partial 16S ribosomal RNA
Rfam family: Bacterial small subunit ribosomal RNA
Source: RNAcentral
CAGUCGCCGCGGGAAUACGAAGGGGGCUAGCGUUGUUCGGAUUUACUGGGCGUAAAGGGCGCGUAGGCGGACUGAUAAGUCAGGGGUGAAAUCCCAAGGCUCAACCUUGGAACUGCCUUUGAUACUGUUUGUCUUGAGUUCGAGAGAGGUAGGUGGAACUGCGAGUGUAGAGGUGAAAUUCGUAGAUAUUCGCAAGAACACCAGUGGCGAAGGCGGCUUACUGGCUCGAAACUGACGCUGAGGCGCGAAAGCGUGGGGAGCAAACAGGAUUAGAUACCCCUGUAGUCCCUGUCUCUUAUAC